UGACGGUAGUGAGGAAAAUCGCACAUAUUUUCACUUUUGAUUUUUUGGCAUUUUUGGACAUCAUUCACUAAUACCUUGAACCUCACAAAAUUUCAGAUCAUAAUAAUGUCUAAUUAUGUCACUAUGACGAUGACGUAAACAAGAAAAUACCUAGCAAAAGGAUUUUCUGUUUUCACGAAGUGACGGCCAAGUACGCGCUUAACAGCCGUCAAUUCGUGAAAACAUCGUUUGCUCUUUUCCUGCUUUUAAUAUUUUCACGAAGUGACGGUAGUGAAAAUUUCGCAGUUCGGAACAGUCACAGACCAUGUAAAGUUUCAGAUGCAGUAGAUACAAUUUUCACUUGUAUGAAGGAAGCACUGGGAAAGUACAUCUACUUUUCAAGAAUGCCACAGGCCAGAAACAAAUCCAGAUUGGAUACAGGGACCAACAUGCUGGUAAGAUGGGUCCUUGAUACUUCACUGAACACAGAGCUGCAGAAUGUGACCUGGCAAAGUGACCUAAGAGUGGGAGCGGUAUGGAACCGUUGAAGCAAUUCACCGAACACGUACAGUCAGAGCUGCAUGUGUGACUUGGCAUGGUGACCCUUAAAGUCUCCUGACGGCUCCGAUUGCGAUUCUGAUGAUGACCCAUUGUCUAUGCUUCUGAGCGAGUCAAAAGUCUAGAUGAAGGAUCUUCGCUGCUUCAACAACUAUUGCUUGGAUGACAUACGUGUGAAGAAACUUGAAGAACUGUUGUUGAAGAGCAUGCUUGAGAAACUAGAAUCAAUUACAUGAUCGUUUUGACAAUGCUUCAAUGUUUCAAUACCUCAAUCUCUCUUUUAUACUGUUUUAUUUU
RNAcentral lists this long non-coding RNA (834 nucleotides) under Strongylocentrotus purpuratus (purple sea urchin). RNAcentral's name for it is "uncharacterized LOC115928670". Lineage: Eukaryota; Metazoa; Echinodermata; Echinoidea; Camarodonta; Strongylocentrotidae. The record is from RNAcentral.